This 143-nucleotide ribosomal RNA is filed under the name uncultured Gammaproteobacteria bacterium. RNAcentral describes it as "partial 16S ribosomal RNA". It matches the Rfam family "Bacterial small subunit ribosomal RNA", at positions 396 to 529 of the family's 1533-position model. The record is from RNAcentral. Lineage: Bacteria; Pseudomonadati; Pseudomonadota; Gammaproteobacteria.
GCCGCGUGUGUGAAGAAGGCCUGCGGGUUGUAAAGCACUUUCAGUAGAGAAGAAAAGCCUACGGUUAAUAACCGUGAGUCUUGACGUAACCUACAGAAGAAGCACCGGCUAACUCCGUGCCAGCAGCCGCGGUAAUAAUCACU